This is a non-coding RNA of Triticum aestivum (bread wheat), 135 nucleotides long. The record is from Rfam. Lineage: Eukaryota; Viridiplantae; Streptophyta; Magnoliopsida; Poales; Poaceae.
CUUAUACUUCCUUCGUCCGGAAAUACUUGUCAUCAAAAUGAAUAAAAGGAGAUGUAUCUAGAUGUAUUUUAGUUCUAGAUACAUACCAUUUCAUUCAUUUUAAUGACAAGUAUUUUCGGACGGAGGAAGUUUUUU